ACCAUCUAUGACUUCUACAUGUACAAAUUUAGUUUUCUUAACUAAAGAUAUUUUUUUAUAAAAUAGGUUGAGGCUCUUGAAUCUAAUAAGGCAAAGGCUUUGUGAUUUUUAAGUCCUAAAUAUAUAUCUAUUAUAAAAUAAGGUGAGGGGCUUAAAGAGAGAAUAGGACCUUUAUUAGAUAUUAUACAUGAUUCUAACUGCACGAUUCCUAUUGUAGUUGGAGAAAUUUAUUUUUUGACAUAUUAUCUUCUUUAGUAAUUAUACUCUUUAUUUUGUAAUUGCAUUGCUUCUUUGUGUAAUAUUGAGCAGUGUAUUUAGCUUCUCUAUAAUAUAAACACAAACCCUCGUGGUGACAUCAAGUCUUUUUUUGCUCUAUGAGAGGUUUAAAACAUAUCGUAUCAAUUUGCGUUCGUUCCAACCUU
This 422-nucleotide long non-coding RNA is filed under the name Physcomitrium patens. RNAcentral describes it as "long non-coding RNA (PPAT_LNC007348)". Lineage: Eukaryota; Viridiplantae; Streptophyta; Bryopsida; Funariales; Funariaceae. The record is from RNAcentral.